RNA transcript from Parus major (Great Tit), 4149 nucleotides. It is a transcript of the gene named transmembrane and coiled-coil domains 3, with no coding region annotated. The record is from RefSeq and is a predicted model, not a curated record. Lineage: Eukaryota; Metazoa; Chordata; Aves; Passeriformes; Paridae. The transcript has 14 exons.
GCACCGGCGCGGGGCGAGGGGCGGCCGCAAGGACGGGGCUGCUCCGUGCCCUCGGCCAGGGGCCGCCGCCCACUUACACCCCUGCUCGCUGCCCUGCGAUCUCGCCCUUCCCUUCCCGCCGCUGCGGGCCUGCCUCCGUCUCUCAGCCUGGUGUGCGUACUGGAGAUGGAGAAACCAUGUAGCAGAAAGCUUUGAGCAGCUGUGGAUUAUCAGUUUCUCCCAAGAACAAUAUACAGUGAAGAAUGAAGGCGACUGGAUUUAUUUCCCUGUGGACGUUGGUUUCGCUGCCUUGUGGCCCCUUAGCAAACCCUGCAGAACGUGAAGAUGUAGUGAAGCAUGCAAUAAAGCUGCACCGUGGGAAAGGAGCUGUUAUCACUCAGAGGAAGCAGUGGGUGUUGGAGAGCUGCAGAAAAUUGUCUGGUCUUCUUCGCCAAAAGAAUGUUGUUCUCAACAAACUAAAAAAUGCCAUAAGAGCAGUUGAGAAGGAUGCAGGACUGUCUGAUGAAGAGAAACUUUUUCAGGUGCACACCUUCGAAAUUUUCCAAAAGGAGCUAAAUGAAAGUGAAAACUCAGUAUUUCAGGCAAUCCAUGGCCUCCAGAGAGCUCUACAGGGUGAUUACAAAGAUGUGGUAAAUAUGAAAGAAAGCAGUAGACAGAGACUGGAGGCCUUGAGAGAAGCUGCAAUUAAGAGGCCUGACAAGACUUUAUCUGUGUGUUGUAAAAUUCAACAGGAAGAAAUGGAAUAUGUUGAACUCCUAGCAGCAGAAAAACACCAGGUUGAAGCCCUUAAGAAUAUGCAGCACCAAAACAAAAGCUUGUCGAUGCUUGAUGAAAUUCUGGAAGAUGUCAGGAAGGCAGCUGAUAGAUUGGAAGAGGAAAUAGAAGAGCAUGCCUUUGAUGACAACAAAUCUGUAAGAGGUGUAAACUUUGAAGCAGUUUUAAGGGUAGAAGAAGAUGAAGCCAACUCCAAAAGAAAUGCUUCAAAAAGAGAAGUAGAAGAUGACUUAGGUCUUAGUAUGCUUAUUGAUUCUCAGAACAAUCAGUAUAUCCUUACUAAACCCAGAGAUUCAACCAUUCCUCGUGCUGAUCAUCAUUUCAUAAAGGAUAUUGUGACAAUAGGAAUGUUGUCUUUGCCGUGUGGCUGGCUGUGCACAACAAUAGGAUUACCAACCAUGUUUGGAUAUAUCAUCUGUGGAGUACUCCUAGGACCCUCAGGAUUAAAUAGUAUCAAGUCUAUUGUACAGGUGGAGACAUUAGGAGAGUUUGGUGUGUUCUUCACUCUCUUUCUAGUUGGCCUGGAAUUUUCUCCUGAAAGAUUAAGAAAGGUAUGGAAAAUAUCUUUGCAAGGACCCUGCUACAUGACAGUUCUGAUGAUUGCCUUUGGUUUACUAUGGGGGCACUUGCUCCAAAUUAGACCAACACAGAGCGUCUUCAUUUCUACUUGUUUGUCUUUGUCAAGCACACCACUGGUAUCCAGAUUUCUUGCAGGUAGCGUUCGAGGAGAUAAAGAAGGGGAUAUUGACUACAGCAGCGUACUGCUUGGCAUGUUGGUGAUGCAGGAUGUGCAGCUUGGUUUAUUUAUAGCUGUCAUGCCUACACUUAUUCAAGCAGGAGUGAGCACAUAUUCCAGCGUUUUCAAGGAAAUUCUGAGAAUACUGAUAUUGAUUGGCCAAAUUCUGUUUUCUCUGGCUGCUGUUUUUCUUCUAUGUCUUGUUAUAAAGACUUAUCUCAUAGGACCAUAUUACCGCAAGUUGCACACAGAAAGCAAAGGGAAUAAAGAAAUUCUCAUUCUAGGAAUAACUGCGUUCACCUUCCUUAUGUUAACGAUCACAGAGCUGUUGGAUGUUUCAAUGGAGCUGGGAUGCUUCUUAGCUGGAGCUCUGAUCUCUUCUCAGGGUCACAUGGUUACUGAGGAGAUUAUGUGCUGUAUUGAACCAAUACGUGACUUUCUUGCCAUCAUUUUCUUUGCAUCUAUAGGACUUCAUGUUUUUCCCACGUUUGUAAUAUAUGAACUCACAGUCUUGCUAUUCCUUACACUGUCUGUCGUCAUAAUGAAGUUUGUCUUGGCAGUGCUUGUCCUUUCUUUGAUUCUUCCAAAGACCAGCCAAUAUAUCAAGUGGAUUGUCUCAGCAGGACUGGCACAAGUCAGUGAAUUCUCUUUUGUUCUGGGAAGUAGAGCACGCAGAGCAGGGAUCAUAUCUCGGGAGACACUGAAUAUUCAAAACUGAUCACUUCAUAUAAAAAACAACUGUUCUUCUAUAAGCUCAUAAAGAUGUUUUUGAAAUUGUAUCUUCACACCAGGUAAACAGGUCUAUCUUCUUAUUCUGAGUGUUACUACUCUAAGCCUUUUACUUGCCCCUGCCCUGUGGAGAGCUGCAAUUAUGAAAUGUGUUCCGAGACCUGAAAGACGCUCAAGUACUUGACCAAGAUUUGCACAAGUAGAAGAGUAUGUCCUCUUGCAAGGAAACACCUUCAUUGUUCGUUGUAUUUCUAUGCACUCAGAAAACAAGACCUGUUGAGUAGUCAGUCCUCUUAACAAGCACUUGGUUAUAAGCCUUCUACUGACCUUAAAACAAAAUUCAGUACUAAAAAAUAAUUGCGUCAUUUGAUUUGCACACCUUUUACAAAAUUUACUUUAACUCUGACAGAUUGGAAUCUGCUAGAAUAUUUGUUUCUGAUCCAAUCUGUUACUCAAAGCAUAAAUUAUUUUUUUAAAAUAUAGCAUCAUGCAAACUAUGUUGAUUAUUUUUUUGCCUGAAUGUGCCUUUUAAUUUUCAUCCUGUUAAUGCUGGUUCAUCACCAGAUUUUGUUCAAAAAGGAAAAAAAGAUAUAUAUAUAUAUUAUGGUGCCUAUGGUAUCUUCUUUCACUAAAUGACUUGAGUCAUUUUCACAUUUAGGAUUUUAAUAUAGCAGUAUAAAAUUAAUUACAAAAGAAAUUUCUAAUGGUGAAUAAAAGAGUGAUCUUCUACACAAAGAAAAGGUUUAACUGUUUAGCAUCAGUUCCAAGCAUAUAAUUACAUAUUCCAAUAUCAUGCAGCCAGUACUGUAUGAUAUUUUAUUCCAAAUUGCAGUAUAUAAUGUAUUUUCUUAUAGUGGUAUAUUUUGUGUUAGCUCUUGUAUUUAUUUCCAUAUUUGACUAAAAAUUGACAGUAAGAAAGGGCAUAACUUAUGUUUGCAGACUGACAGUUGUUACCUGUUCUUGUUGCUAAAUGCUGCUACAGUAAUCGUUUACAGGGAUGUUUUCUUUUAAAUCAAAAAGAAAUGUAAUAAAACUGGGAAGUGUAAUUUCAAUUAGAUGUGAAAAAUAGCACUUCUGCAACCUUGGAAGUUGGAUCUUAGUUGACACUAUUCUAGAUUUGAAAUUAUUUUAAGUAAAUUAACUUUCAGAAAACUAGAAACAGCAGACUGGAUGUGUAUUUGCAACCUCAUGACCUUUUAAGUUACCUUUACAUUGAAUAAAUUGUUAGUCUUUUUAAAAUACCACGAUAUUUUAGAAAACAGUGUUUUGAAUGUGAUUUUAAAUGUGUUUUUUCUUUAAAAUGUUGUAUGUAGUGAGAUAGGUCUUGUAAAAACCCAUUAUUUAAGUGUCAUAGAGAAAGCUUACUCAUAGGCUAUAGUCUACUCUGACAAAGCAUUUAAGCGUCAUCUUGAGGUUUAUCUGAUAAAACCAAUACCAUUUAAGAUACAUUAACACUUCAGUCAGUAUUGCAGUGUCAUCUGAAAUAACAUUGAUACCCACAAAAUGGUUCGAAAAAUGCAUGUUACGAGGUUUAAUUGCCAAUUAAAAUGAAAAUUGUCCUCCAAGCAGCAAAACAAAGCUUUGGAUGGAUUUUUGUGCUCUAUACCUCUUUCCCCCUGUAGCAGCCUCAGUUUCUUCAGUGUUUUCUCUGACAUCUGCUGGGCUUGUCCAAAUGAAACUUGGAUUAGUCUGGAGUGUGGAUGUACUGGUGGGACAGGGUAGAGAUCAUCAUAUUUGAAGUUCUUGCUCACUGAAUUUGGGGGUUUCCCUCUAGGCAUAAUACUUCGUAAAGAUCCGAGGAAUGUAUGGCAAUUCCACCUCCCCUCAAAUGGUUUCAAAAGUUGUUGCAAAACAGACAAAUACAGAGCAAAAAGCUGCCCUAUAAAUAAAAUAUUUUUUAAUAAAAUUAA